CCUACGGGGGGCAGCAGUGGGGAAUAUUGGACAAUGGGGGCAACCCUGAUCCAGCCAUGCCGCGUGUGUGAAGUAGGCCCUCGGGUUGUAAAGCACUUUCAGUGAGGAAGAACGCCUGGUGGUUAAUACCCAUCAGGAAAGACAUCACUCACAGAAGAAGCACCGGCUAACUCCGUGCCAGCAGCCGCGGUAAUACGGAGGGUGCGAGCGUUAAUCGGAAUUACUGGGCGUAAAGCGCGCGUAGGUGGCUUGAUAAGCCGGUUGUGAAAGCCCCGGGCUCAACCUGGGAACGGCAUCCGGAACUGUCAAGCUAGAGUGCAGGAGAGGAAGGUAGAAUUCCCGGUGUAGCGGUGAAAUGCGUAGAGAUCGGGAGGAAUACCAGUGGCGAAGGCGGCCUUCUGGACUGACACUGACACUGAGGUGCGAAAGCGUGGGUAGCAAACAGGAUUAGAUACCCGAGUAGUC
RNAcentral lists this ribosomal RNA (465 nucleotides) under Vreelandella stevensii. Its description in RNAcentral is "partial 16S ribosomal RNA". It matches the Rfam family "Bacterial small subunit ribosomal RNA", at positions 338 to 795 of the family's 1533-position model. The record is from RNAcentral. Lineage: Bacteria; Pseudomonadati; Pseudomonadota; Gammaproteobacteria; Oceanospirillales; Halomonadaceae.